CACAUGAAAAUGAUGUUAUAAUUUCUAAAUAGUCAUGACUUACAGCAUUCAUUCUGAUUCCGUAACAACCCGAUGUAUGUGUUCUGAAUCUUGCUUGUGUUCUUUCUAAAGGAAGAAAAAUGUUCUAGCUUUCAGGUGCAUAUGUACAGUUUAAGUCCUCCAAGUUGAUCUAAGCUUUGAUCCAACCUUCAGGUUCCUCAGGAAAGUGGUACCAUUUACAUUGAUGGCAUCCAGGACAUACCCAGCUUCAGACUCCCUGCACUGCAUGUUCGUACAGAUGAAAUGCAACGCUCAAGAUGAAGCUGUCAAGUUUCAGCGAUUCACGUGUCGUCUCAAAGAGCGCGAUCGCAUCGUCCACAACACCGUGCUCCAGGUACACCCUCAUCAUGGUCCUGCAGCAGGCCAGAUCGGGAGCCAAGCCUGCCUUCAUUCGGUUGAAGAUCCCCUGGGCAUCACUGAUCUUGCCUUCCUUCAGAAAGGAGAAAAUCAGGUGGCUGAAAUGAGGGCAGGAAGGGGUUCUGUUGCUAUUCAGCAUCAUCUCGAAUUCUCGAUGGCUUCCUCCGCUUCCAGGUAGCGUUUACCCUCAGUGUCAGAUUGGCUUUUGUUCAGCGACCUGCAAGCUUCUCUCUUUGUGCUUGCAGUUGUCUUUAGCUCUACAUCCCACCAAAAUGGUUAGCAAUUAGCACUUCGCCUGGAGAAAGAUUAGCACUUCGUUCUGGAUGCAUAAUAAUAUCUAUGAAUCUGGAAAAAUCAAAACGACCUACAAUUUGAAACGGAGGGAGCAGAACAAAGAUCGGUUCUUGCAGCAUUCAAAACGGCAAAGCCGACUCCUAUGCAUUCUCUUUUCAGGUGCUGGUUCAGUCCGCUACUGUAAGACGUAAUUACAAGAUGUGCAGGCUCUGAAGACUUGAGGCCUGUUCGAAUGGGUUCGGUUACUACUGCAAACUGGGACCAAGAAGAAUUAGUUGAUGGUGAUCUCAGCCAGAUAGCUAUAAUCUGAACAAGCCAGCAAAUUUCUCUGUGCAUUUGCAACCAAAUCCGAACGAGCUCGUCAGAUCCAACAAAUUCUGGACGCAUUUGGCCUUUGUUUGGGCGAGGACGGCCGGGUGCCGCAGGCGGUGACGAGGUAUUCCUCGGCGACGAAGGCACCGGCGGGUUUGGUGGUGGCGGCGGCGGUGCUGUAGAGGACGAGAUGGUGGAGGGAGGAAGCAGCGGGGAGUGGCCGCGGGAAGGAGGUGGCUUCGGACGCGGAGCAUCUCGAACUUGCGAGGCCAACGAGUCGAUGACGACGAUGAGCGACGAGGUGGCGGCCAUCGGCCGUCGCCGUCGGCGGCGGGAGGAGAGAGCGAUGGCUAUCUCGGCGGGGCGGGCAGAACAUUUACCGACCACCCAGGCCGGCGGCACGGCGAGCACCGGAGGGAGGAAUUGGACGCCGGCGAGGCGACGUAGAGGAGGCCGACCACCUCGGCGAACUCGGAUAGAGGUGGAAGGCCCUAGCCUACCUCCGCCCCACCACCACCUCAAGGAAGACGAGGAGGCCAAGGUGGUGGCGAGGCCGACGGCGACGAGGACGAAACGGCGGGGGCGCGUUGCCGGCGGACGGGAGGAGCACGAGAAGCGCUCCAUGUCUGCGCACGCGUCCGGCAGAACGGUGCAUCCGGAUUACGCCGCCGUACGCUGCCGCUGGGAGGCUGGCCGGGAUUAAUAAUUUCUUGUUCACCGGCACGGCAGGUAUCAGGAGGCCUUACGGGCCUGCGCUGGCGUCAGGCCGCAGCUGUUGGCAAGGUAUUUCUCGACGACGAACUGUGCUGUGCUGUUGGCGUGGUGGUGGCGGCUGUGCUGUGUCCUGUGUAGGAGGAGGUGGCCGGAGGACGCGGCGGGGAGAGGCGAGGCAGCCUGGCGGCGGGAAGGAGAUGGCUUCGGAGGCGGAGCAUCGCGUCUGGCAGCGCGCCGCGCGGGAUCUGAUUGGCUUUUGUUCAGCGACCUGCAAAGCUUCUCUCUUUGUACUUCAAGUUGUCGUUAGUUCUAGAUGUCAACAAAAUGGUUGGCAUUGCCCUUAAAAAAAUGGUUGGCAUUUCGCCUGGAGGAUCGAGAACCAACGUGUAAGCGAGGAACUGUGGUGUGUAGAACAAAGAUGAUCGGUUCUCACAACAUUCAAAACGGCAAAGCCGACUCCUAGGCAUUUUUUUCAGCUGCUGGUUCAGUCCACUACUGUAUGAAGACUGUAAUUACAACGAUGUGCAGACUCUGAA
Long non-coding RNA from Setaria italica (foxtail millet), 2252 nucleotides. RefSeq lists it as uncharacterized. The transcript has 3 exons. Lineage: Eukaryota; Viridiplantae; Streptophyta; Magnoliopsida; Poales; Poaceae. The record is from RefSeq and is a predicted model, not a curated record.